UUCCAUUUUUACCACCCUCUACUACAAAAUGAAAAUGUAAUAUAGUAGGGUGGGGGAAGAUGGGACAC
This 68-nucleotide microRNA precursor is filed under the name Ciona intestinalis (vase tunicate). Its description in RNAcentral is "miRNA (ENSCING00000021220.1)". The record is from RNAcentral. Lineage: Eukaryota; Metazoa; Chordata; Ascidiacea; Phlebobranchia; Cionidae.